Long non-coding RNA from Aricia agestis (brown argus), 408 nucleotides. RefSeq lists it as uncharacterized. NCBI's taxonomy places the organism in Eukaryota, Metazoa, Arthropoda, Insecta, Lepidoptera, Lycaenidae. The transcript has 3 exons. The record is from RefSeq and is a predicted model, not a curated record.
CGCUGUGCGUACACACGAAAAUUAAAAAAAAAGCGGACGAAAAUUUGGCGCGUUCGAAUUUAAAAAAAAGGCGCGAGUGUUGUGCUGUGAUUUUUGUUUUUGGAAGUUUAAUUUUUUUUUGGAAGUGUUGUUAUGUUUUUUUUUUGUGAAUGAGAUGUGUCAAUGGUGCGAUGCGCGUGCGCGCAUAUUCAUUCAUAAAAUCUUGCUAGGUACAAAAUAAAUCCAAAUGCGGUUACAGAGAACAGAACAAUUUAUUGUUAGUAUGAUCGCACGCACCAUUGACACAGUGAGGGACUAGUGAGGAGUGUGGACGAGCAGGAUAAGUGAUCUCCAAAUGGCGCUGGAGGCCGGAGACAGCUGAUAGGAGCAUCCAGGCGUGGAACACGAGAAGGGCUUCCAUAGGGCCCA